UAUAAAUAUAGCUGUCCUACCCUCUGUCCCCCACGUUUUCCCCAAAAAAUACUCGCCCGAGCUAAAACUAUAAACCUCACCCGUCCUCUCCUUUUCGAUCCCUCUUCUCUUCCUAAUUCCGACCUCUCAUUUUCCCGAUAUAAUUAUAAUAAUAAUAAUUUUAAAUUUUAAAACUUUUAAUUUAAUAGGUGGUGCACUUAUUAAUUAUACCUAGUCGAUCGUUGUCGGAGCAGGAGGAAAAGCGAGGGGGAAGGGAAGGGGGGGGGGAUGAGAGGGAUAACGUACUGGCUCGCGGAGCACCCGGCCAUCGUGGGGUUCCGGUGGAGCCACGCGCAGUCGUGGGGCUCGACGUGGUCGUUCCUCAUCUCCUCCCUGGCGCUCUGUGUCGUGGCGGCGGCCGCCCUCCACCUCGCCCUCUGCGUCCUCCUCCGGCACCGGCGAGUCCCCCUGGGCCCGGUCCCGGCCCUCCACUCCCUGGUGAUGGCGCUCGCCUCGGGGGCCAUCUUCCUCGGCACGCUCCUCUCGGCGCUCGCGGAGAUCCGCGACUCGCGGUGGGCGUGGCGCGGGCGCAGCCGGAACAGCCCGCUGCAGUGGCUGCUCUGCUUCCCGCUGGGCACCCGGCCCUCGGGGCGCGUCUUCUUCUGGUCCUACGCCUUCUACCUCUCCCGGUUCCUCCACCUCCUGCGCGCCUUCUUCGCCAUCCUGCGCCGCGCCCCCAACCCGCUGGCCCGCGUCUUCUCCCACUGCGCCCUCGUCGCCAUGUCCUUCCUCUGGCUCGAGUUCUCCCAGUCCUUCCAGGUCCCCGCCAUCCUCGCCGCCACCCUCGCCCACGCCGUCGUCUUCGGCUACCGCUUCUGGGUCGGGGUCGGCCUCCCCGUCGCCCCCUCCGUCCCCGUCGUCCUCGGGUGCCAGCUCGCGCUGCUCUGUUGCAACCUCGUGUGCCACGUCGGCGUCCUCUUCUUCCACUUCGGCAAGGGAGGAUGCAACGGCAUCGGCGCCUGGGUCUUCAACUCCGUCCUCAACGGGGCGCUCCUCUGGGUCUUCCUCGUCUGCUACGCCAGGAAAUCCGACGGCCGCGUGGUGGAUCGAUCCGGGCCGUCCGUGUCGCAGGAUGAGAGCAAGAAGGAGCGGUGAGGAUUAACUUGGUCGUCAUGCGUCCGUGUAUAGUAGGUGUACGAGAGAGGGAAAUCGUCGUCUACCCCGGUAAGCCUUUUGCAGAGCCGCCCACGAAUAAUGACAAUAUAUAUACAUGUUUCCAUGAGAUACAGACAAAUAAUUAGAUAAAUUAGGGAGGAAAUUAUAGUGGGAUCUUUGUGCGGAGCAAAAAGAAAGGGCACCUUGUAUAGAUGAGAAAUCAUAUAUAAUAUAUAACUUCUUUCUUUUCCCAUUGAUAUAUGUUAAAUAUAAUCAACCAAAGUUAUUUCUUAUAAACCACUUUGCAACCCUUUUUAAUAAAGAAUGAAAUAGCCGCCAGCAUCCACCGGGACAAUAGCUUGACGAAGAUCUUUUAGUCUUCAUCUUGAGGAGCAGCUUUUAGCUCCAAAGAUCCUUUGCUCCUUAGGCAUCUAAGAAAAGCGACUAGCUUUUGAUGUUCUGGCUAUAUCUACAAGAAAAAAAAACUGCAUUGUCAUGGCCUUCUCUGCCUCAAAUGUCGACAUUGAGUACGCAUUCAGCAGAAUUGCUGUGUGCCAGCUGGUCUCAAAUAGAUCUCCAUGCAUAAAAUCCAGCAAAGCUGUCUCAUGUUCAGGACACUAGGAAAUAUAGUUUUUGUAGUGUCCUAAAUCCUAUAAUUUUAUUGAAUUAUUCAUAAGGUAGGAAAAACUAUUUUUUGCCUGAGGAUCAUAAUAGGGUUCAUUGUAAUGUAUGAGUUAGUUUCCCUAGUAAUUAUUCUUCUUGUUAAUUACUCUACCUAAAGUAAUUAAGUGAUAUAGAUCUUAUAUGGUAUAUCCAGAUCAUAGCUCCGUCAUCACGAAAAGAUGAUGAAGUAUGUAUUCUAUUUCUACAACUUCAAUACAUUGGAGUGAGUAACAGUGAUUCAUUUUCAACCAUUUUAUAUUGGAAUCAUAUCUAUCAACCACUGCCGACCCUGCUCCGGCUUUAGUAUUUAUAUAAGCAGUUGGUGGAGAACUAGUGAGACUGAUCACACUGAUCAAGAAAGAAGCACAAACCUUUUGUGUUGUCCCAGAAUCCAAAGCGGGGAGGAUUCAGAGCAUCAGAUGCCAACUGGAGUAAAUGUUACGCUGUCAAAUUUGAGCCUGAUUCAAACCCCUUGGAACUUGGAGUACUAGACGUUGCCGAAAACCACACUGCCUAAAAGACAAAGAGAGAGGGGAAAAAAAAAGAAACAAAUCAUUAAGUUCACUGGUUACCAUUGGUAACACGAUAUUUACAACUCUCUACUCGGGCGUUAAAAGAAAUUGAUCUACCAUGUUAGCAAAUGGGUGUUGUUCAUGGGCGGUGAUGUGUCCCUUACUAUUGCUUCCAUUCAUCCAAGUACCAGACCCCUUAGACGAGGCGUGAUACUUACCAUUGCUUCCAUUCAUCCAAGUACUAGAUCCCUUAGAGGAGGCGCAUAGAAGGCUGUAAGAAUAGCAUUCCCGACAUAAUUACUGUUUCGAUUUUCCAAUUGAACAGAGAAUCAACAAUCCCAAUGAAAUAAUUUAUAUCGAUAUCUCACCUCUCUCAACUCUUCUUUAUUCAUACUAUAAGAUCUAUAAAAUAACAAAGAACGAAUGAAGUUAAUGAGCAAUAGGAGGGAGAAUUAACAGAACCAACAAAUAUAGCUUGAGACACAACCAGCCUAAUAGUUUUCCGUCUUCGUCAUUUGCCGUCUACAUGCAACAGCAUCUACAAGCAACUAACAGAGUACAAAGAUGAACGACCCUGAAAGUAUCCAAAGUCUAAUAUAUUCUGCCAAAUCUUGUUGAAAGUUGUGGUUCCACUUCCAAUAUGUACGAGAUUAGCUUGGUUCAGUUUGAAAAUCUUUCAAGGCAAAGAAGGCAUAGAAAUGUUAAGUAUUAUAAUUUCCAAUAUGUACGUGUUAAGAACUUUGGUGUCCACAUUUUAAAUAUCAUAUAAGUUUUGCGACUUUAUUGGAUCCAACCAGCAUUAAUAAAUUAAUAAACUACUUUAUCUGGCAAGUAAUAGUAAAACUUGGAUGGCAUUUUAGGUCCAUAAGAUUCUACCUCAUAUGAAGUUACUCAUUCUACUGUGAAUAAUCAAAACAUUAAUGUACAGAAGAGAGUUUCGAGAAAGACACAGAAAUUAGAGACGCUGACAUGUUGCCACGUAAACUAGUAAAAAAAACAGAGCACCUAACAAGCUCAGCAAACUACCACUACAACAUAAAUAUAUGAGGGAAGAAUGUAUGAAUAGUAUCUCAUUGUUAAUAUCAACCAUUGAUUACAAUACUAGUCUCUUUCACUCUGAAGGAGUAAUUGCAAUUAACCCUGGAUAAACCGUAACGGCAGCCCGUAAUAUUCCGCCGCAAAUAUGAGAAAGGGAAAGGAUUUGCUCUACUAGCUAGUCCUAAAGCCUGAUAGGCACUAGCAUCCAAUUCCAACAUCUAAACAGUAGAGAGUGGAGAAACAAAUAUCAUGGUCUGCAGCAUAGUAGCCAUCUAAUUAGAAAAACACUAAGAAUUUCUAGAUAUCCGACUUUCUUAAAGAAACCACCCAUAUAUAAGAUAUUUUUAACACCACUAUCAGAAUACUAAUAAAACAAACUUGUAGACCUGCUGACCUUCUAGAUGGACAAUUGUCAAUACAGGAGAACGACAUGAACAUAAUUUUGAGGACGAUACUGGUAUUCAUAAAGAGAUGCAUCCAUUAUACAUACCGUAAAAGGUCUCCAAAUCAAUCAUCCUCCCUCUAUGAGUUGAGGGUCGCCAUCCUCAGGAGAAAUAUGACCCCCUGUCACCUCAGAAAUACCUUUAGGUGACCUCGCUCUGCAGGAGAGCUCCUGUAAACGCAUUAAGAAAAGGAGAUUCCACAUCUUACCAAUUACCAUUUUGGCUAUCUGUCGAUGUUGCAAAGGUCAGAUAAAAUCAGUCUUUAGAAGGAGAAACUUUAUAUCUAGCAAUCAUAGAUCAUUGUUAUUGCUCUCGAGUCCAGAGAAUCCAGAGAAGAGUCGCCACAGAGAUAGUAUAAAAAUGAAUAAUGAAAGAUUCAAUAUACAGCCCAGCAAGAAUAUUAACAUCAUUUAUCUCGUUCGUGUAUAAUCAAAAACAAUUUUGAAAGCAUAAAUUAGCAUCUACUGAUUUCAAACAGACAGACCUGACGCCAAAGACAAAAUGCAAUUUUAGCAAAUUAAGAUAUAAAGAUAAUAUCUUAAUAAUAAAACAAAAGCUAACUAAAAGAAAGUACUUACAGUUUUUCCAAUUUCUAAUUUGAGAGGACAGAAAGAUUCUUGACUAUAUCAUGUCAAACUUACAGGUUGGUUGAUUGACAUAUACUCCUGAAGCUAAAAUAAAAUUUCCACAAACCAUAAAGUGAACAUAUUUUCCAGAUUAAAAUGCUUCAAAUUAAUAAAUAAUUGUGAAACAUCACAAGACAAACAUCAAGUUGAAAAUAGAAUGUCAGCAGGGAAGAGUGGAGUUAAAAGAAAGGCCAAAGAAAAUAAUCGUAUCCAAUAUUUAUUACGGUAUAUAUUAGACAUAUGAUGUUUAAGUUGUAUGAUGAGAUAAUUUAUACGUCCCACAAGGCUACGUCAGCAAUAUAAGGAAAGUAUCUACUUAAGAAGGUGUUAUAAGAGGACCGUGAAGACCUACACUACAAUGGGAUGGAGUGAGAAAAUAAAAAUGUAUAAUAGCAAUUUUGCUAAACAGCAAAUCCAUAACAGAGUGGAUGAAAAACUAACUCCACAUAGCCAACUACUGAAAAUAAUCGUAUCCAAUAUUUGUAAGGUAUAUAUUAGACCUAUGAAGUUUAAAUUGUAUGAAUGAGAUAAUUUAAACGUCCCACAAGGCUACGUCACCACUAUAAGGAAAGUCUUUACUUAAGAAGGUGUUAUAGGAGGACUGUGAAGGCCUACACUACAAUGGGACGGAAGAGUGAGAAAACAAAAAUGUAUAAUAGCAGUUUUUCUAAACAGCAAAUCCAUAAUAGAGUUGGAUGAAAAACUAACUCCACAUAGCCAACUGCUAAUAGAUGGGAUAAAUUCAUGGAAUGUGCAAUAUUGUUUUAUUUUUAAUCAUUUAACAUUACAAUCAUCUUCACCACUCCUGACUCUACCCUGUUUUUCAUAUAAUAUAAACAGUUGGUGCAGAACUAGUUAGGCUGAUCAAUAAAGAAGCACAAACCAGUUGGACUUCCCCAAAAAGGUUCAGAGCAUCAGAGGCCACCCGGAUAUAUGUUUGACUGUCAAAUUUCAGUCUGAUUCAAUUCUCUUGGAACUUGGAGUACCAGACUUCACCAAAAAUCACACUUCUUCAUUGACAAACAAAAGAAACUGAAAUUAGUUAUUCAGGGCACAUAUUAAUUGAUGUUAUACUCAAAAUUUUCUUCUUGUAAGUGAAAAGAGGUAGAACUGUUAGACUAAGGGAAGAAUUUUCUUCACAGUGCUUGACAAAUCUCACACCUAUCCAUGCACUAGAUCCUUGUAGAAGCACGUAAAAGCUUAUAAGAAUAGCAUUUUCCAUCGUAUUUAUACUCAUAACUGCAGGGCAUUGAUGAAUCUAUCAAGGUCAAAUUUCAGAUUAAAUUCAUCAGUGGUUUGUGAUAUCCGGUUCUUUAACAAAUUCAACACAGUAUGGAAUUUGGACAAAAUGCAGUUAGUCUUCUCUUACGUGCAGAAACACACUAUGAUUGUGGUUCACCGCACCAGGUAAGUCCUUGUAAGCAAUCUUCACUCCCAUAAAUUCAGAUAAAUGAUGACUGUUCUGUUUUCCUGAAAAUUCAUGGGAUAUCCUACAUAGAUAUCUUACAUGCAGCCGACUCUCAUUUUUAAAGUAAAAGGUCAAGAAGCAAUGGAGAUAACAAGCAGUCAAAAUACGGACAAAUUGAAACACGACCAAUAAAUAUAACUUCGAAACACAACCUCUUAACAGUUCGAUUGCAUGUCAUUUCAGCAUAAACAUUCAUCUGCAUCAUUUAUGGGCAGCCAAUUAUUGUUAAAAGUUUUAGUUUUGGUAGAAUAAAUCUUGUGGGAAAGUUAUGGUUCCACUUCCAACAUGUCUGAGCCUAGUUUAGUUUGAAAAAACUUGUUAAGACUAAACAGGCAUAAAAACGUAAAGAAUUUCAAUUUCCAACAUGUACAUUCUAAGAACUUCAGGACCCACAUUAUAAAUAUCAUCUAAGUUUUCCUUUUAUAAAAUUUCCCAAAAAGAUGCAAACUAAUUUUACACUAGCAGUAUUAAUUUCCCCUAUAUCCUGACCAACUAGUAUAUAAUAAAAUAACAAACUACUUUCUCUCUGGAAAGUAAUACACAAAACUCUGGACGGUGCUUUCAGGCACCAUAAGAAUACAACAAGGACCGAAAAACAACCUUUUAAUGCAACAGCAUCUACCAACUGUAGCUUUUGGAUCUGGAUUUCACUGCAAAUAAUAUACCAAAGGAACUUGAAAUAAGUUUAGUUGCCAUAAAUUGUGUAUCUCUGUGCCUGAAGUCAUGCCUGUAUUCAAGUAAUGCAUACUGGUUUCUAGCUAUAAGCACGAAUGAAAUAAAUGAUAGUUUCAAGCCCCUCUUUUGCUGAAUAUCAUCAAUGGUUACACAAGCAUUUAAUGCCUCGACAUCAAACAAAUGUCAGGCAAUUGUCGGCUUAAGUUGUUUCGUGUUUGCGUUAUGCUAAAAGGUUAAGCAGUUGUACUGAAGAUUCAAGGUAUCCAACGUAGUUUAGAUAAGGCACCUAUAUAGAAUAAGUUGUAUAAUAACUGAUUGAGAACAGUUAAAGGAUUUGUACCAGGGCCACAAAACAACUAGGAAGAGAUUUUAUUCAGCAGGUGUCAUGGGCAAGGAAGACCUAAACUACUAUGGCAGGAACAAGUAAAGAAAGAUGUAAUAGCACUUGGUUGAUAAAACAGCCUAUCCAUAGUAGAUUUGACUGGAAAAGAGCUCUAGACAGCCAACUGGAAAUAUAUGCAGGUACUACAAAUGUUUUUCUUUUCAUGGUUACCGUUGACAUAUUGAAAAUGAGACAAGGUGAACCACUUGCAAUGAAACCAUCUAACACAUUAUGAAUUGUACUUGCAAUGGUUCAAGGAACAGAACUCUCCAACAGCCUCCUGUCGAACUCGCAGAAUUAAUGAAAAUACCUCCAAGAAAACCACAAUUAGGCAUCUACAAAAGAUAACCAUUUUUAGAUCCUUGAUCAUACUAUUAGAUACUUAGAAGACUUAGCGAAUGAUGGGAAAAAAAAAAAACCAUAAUCAGAUUUCAGGAUAAAGCACAACGACAGUAACAGCUGAAAGAACAACAACAAUCAAAACCACAUUUCGAUAUAAAGCAUAGUAAGAUUAGAUCUAAUAAGUAUAAUUUUUCAAGAAUUAGGGUUCCUACGACUACAUAACAGCUGAAAGAACAACAACAAUCAAAACCACAUUUCGAUAUAAAGCAUAGUAAGAUUAGAUCUAAUAAGUAUAAUUUUUCAAGAAUUAGGGUUCCUACGACUACAUGUAUCCAAUCUUCAAGGUAAUUAGAUCCUAAGCAGAACAAUUUGUCAAUAAAAACAAUAAAAAUAAAUCUGAUGCCCCUCAUGCUGUCCACAAAGCUUACUAUUGUACAAUCUUAAAACAGACUACUCUAUGUGCCAAACGCAUGCAACAUUCCUUAUGAAUUGAUCUCGUGAAGGUAUCAAAACAAGAAGAGUAGUGGUGAUGGAAUCACGUAAUUCAUAUCAUGACACGCUAACCAGAACGUAAAGCACACUUUCUUUAAACAUCACCGGCAUUAUGAUUCUUGCAUAGAAAACCUAAACGAAGAAAUCUAAUUCGCUGUAAUAAGGGUUUCAAGUUCAUCAAGAAUCAAACGAUUUGAAAGAGUACAGCAAUGAAGAAUCAGAAUCCCUUGUAAACAACAAACACAGGUUCUAACAUAACCGAAUACGUAGCAAGAACUAGGUUUUCCACGUAGCUAAGGGAUCCGAUCAAUCAUGGGAAUUAGAAACAAACAAGAGUUGAUCUUACGAAAAUCGAUCGAGAAAACCGGAUCCGAAACCAAAUCAUCUAACAGAGCGAAAAAGAUAGAGAUCGAAGGAGAAGAGAAACGACGAGAGGAGAAGUAUACUACGACAUCGCCAUGGAACCCUCGUGGUGAUCUCCGCGGAGGCGAAAUUCGCCGGACUCGAGCGGACAAUUACUCAGCAGGCGAUGUGGCGGGAGAACUGGAAAUUCGAGUGGAGAGGUGGAAAUUAGAAUGCGAGAUACGCUGAUCUCGGGCCCUUUUAUAGGCGAGGCAAUAGUCCCGUUGCGUCCCACAAAUGAAAAAUUGAUGUGCAGUGUCUCCCGUUGCAUUAGGCGGCAUACGCAACGGCUAUAAAUGGGCCAGGCUGGCCCAGUUUAAUUAAAUGGGUCGAGCUUGCAAAUUAAAAAUUGUUGUGUGGUGUCUCCCAUUGUAUUAGGUGGCGUGCUCAACGGCUAUAAACGGUCCAAUAUGGCCUAGUUUAAUUAAAUGGGCCGAGCCGUAACGUUGGACUCGCAAAAAAAAUAUAGAUAAAUGUCUGAGCCCGGGUUCGAACCGGGGACCUCUAGUGUGUGAGACUAGCGUGAUGACCAACUACACCACCCAGACACUUGAAAAAGCAACUCAAUAAAAUUAUGAAAUAUUUUGUCUUGUUAAUUCGAAGAAACCAACAAACACUCCACGUGGAGAAAACUCGCGCAUAUUUUACUGCUCUCACUUUCAUAUAUACUAUCAUUGGACAAAGUACUGCAAUGCAUCGUAAAAUUAAAGUAUCUUAAAAACAACGAGUAGACAGUUGCAUACAAAAGUUAACGGAAAAUUUCAAAAGUCCCCCUGUGAUUUCGUACUUUUUUAUUUUACUAUCCUAUAGUUUAAAUUGUAUCAAGUAAGUUAAAAAAAAACUUCAAAAACCUUCCAUGUGAUUUCGUACUUUUUUAUUUUAGUACCCUGUGGUUUAAAAUGUAUCAAGUUAGUACCCUGUGGUUUCGCACUUUCUCACUUUAGUAUCCUGUGGUUUAAAAUGUAUCAAAUUAAUACUCUAUGAUUUUAUUUUUGUAUCAAAUUAGUAUAGUGUGAUUUUAUUUUUGUAUCAAGUUAGUACCCUAUGGUUUUUAAACCAUAGGGUACUAAAGUAGGAAAAUGCGAAACCACAGAAUACUAAAGUGAAAAAGUGCAAAAUCACAGGAUAUUAACUUGAUAUAUUUUAAAUUACAAGAUAUUAAAGUGAGAAAAAGUGAAACACAAGAAGGUAUUUGAAGUUUACCCAAAAGUUAACACUAUUAUGGCUUUUACGUUCAUCCCAAUUCCUGAAGCAAGGAAGAGUGUGUGAAUAGGAUCCUUGUUCCCACACACAACUCACAUAAAGUAAAAAAUGUUCUCAAAGAUAGGUAUAUAAAAGCUCUAUUAAUUAUUCUUGACCUGAAUUUAGGUGAUGGAUUUUUUUUUCCAAACAUCUACAGCAGCCUAUAUAUAAACAUAAAACAAAAAUUUUAAUAGCAAUCACUAAACAAAAUUUGAACCUAUCUCUAAUGUCAAACUAACUAAUAUUAAGAAAUAAAUCUGACAAAAAUAAAUUUAAAUUUCUAAUAUGACUAAAUCUAAACUUACCAAAAAUAUUGAAUCUCUUAUCAACAAAAAAAGGAAAUAAGAAACGAAAAUAGGCAAACAAACUUUACCAUAGAUUGUAAACCUGCUCGGACCGACAUGAUUUAUAUACACAUAGAUUGUAAACCUGCUUGGACCGACAUAUGAACUCAAUUUCUUUACAGAACAAACAAACAACCACAUGAAACUCUUCUAGAACACUUACAUUUGCAUCCACCAAUAUAACAUGCAAAACCUUAGCAUGCGAAGCACAACCCUGAAUUGAAUACAAAUAGAGUAACAUUUACUCGAGCAAGCGCCUGCGCUUACACCAAGUGACGGCGAUCACAUAGAGGAUAAUGCUCCCGGCCGCAGAGCCACCCACUGUCCACAAGAACUCAGGCAUGCCAGCCUUCUUCUCAUCAAAUAGAUCAAUCUGGAUGUUCAUGCCAAAUAUUCCAACGAGGGCAACAAAGGCACUGACUAUCAAGGUUGCGGUGGUUAGCAUGACACCCAUCUGUAGAAGAUGAUUCUGCUUGUCAUCUAGCAUGAUGUUUAUAUAAUCCUCUGUGUCAUCCACGUACUCCCGAAGCUACAAUGAUCCAACAAGAGGUAAGAAAAGGUUUGAGUUAGGUUUACCUCGGCCACCACGGAAAUAGUUGACCAAAAUGAGCUAGAAAAGCAAGCAAUUAGAACCACAGGAUAAGAGGACACGUACCGUGGUCAGUUUAUUCAAUGUACUGUCAAUCUGUACAAAAUAUGCUUCCAAAAGCAUUUCAAGUUCUUGGACAUCGAGAUGCUUGUUGCUACUUUUGGUGCUAUAAGUAUUGGCUCGAUGGCUCUCCACAUUGAAUAAACAGGGACCAUGCGGUGAAUUGUCGUUUACAACAUUUUGCAACUCAUCCUCGUACAUUCUAGGGGCAUCAUUCUCCUCUGAUGAUAUCUCAGCACGCAUCCUAAAGAAUCGAUUUCUUUCAAGUUACUGAAGACGUCAUUAGAAAUGCACAAGCUCGGAAGACAUCGGAAAUUACUCUGAGAUACCUGUCCUCAUCAAUGCCCUCACUUUGAUCAUUAAGAGAGGAAUGAGAAGCCUCUUCAGAUAGGUGUUGCUGCAUCAUUUUGUCGGUUAAGUACAUUUCAGCCAUAUCAUCAUCAUCAUCCAACAGGUGCUCAAGUUCAUCCCUCACCUAUCAGUGUAGAGAAAAGGUGAACUGGGACUAGCCAGCAAAAUAAAUGUUCAUAAAAGCAGCCAUAAAUAAUUGUGAUCCUUCCAAACACAUAAAGAGAGUGCAGAUGAGAAAGAAAUAAUAAGUGCAAUUCACUUGUGAUAGAUAGGACCUCCAAAUUAUUAUUCUAAUAUGCUGCAUGAACUAUAAUGAAGUGAAACAUGUGAUAGGAUGCAAGUAAAUGUAAACAAUAUAUAUAUAUAUAUAUAUAUAGAUAUAAUAUUCUAGAUGAGUCCAGCUACUAUACUAUUGAUAGUACCAAGUCUUUGGUACUAUUGAGUUUUCUACCAUUAGAUCUACCCUUUGAUCAUUUCCACCUGUUAGAUUAUACUAUUAAACCAACCAACCACUCAACCCUAGGGGACCACUAUCAUCCUAACCGCACAUCCUUUCAUCCAACAGCCAAAAACUCAAUAGUACCAACGGCUUGGUACUAUUGAUAGUAUAGUAGCAUAAUUCUCUCUCUCUCUCUCUCUCUCUCUCUAUAUAUAUAUAUAUAUAUAGAGUGGGCUGGUAUGCUUCUAGAAGCACGGAGCCCUCCGUGCUUCCAAGUUGUUUUCGAUGUUCGGACUUUCGAAUCGACGAUCGGUUCCAUUAGAGUUGAUCUAGAGUAUUUGAAGUAUCUAGAAAAUAAAUUUUGCGAUUUUUCGAUAUCAUUUGCCUAGUGAUCGAAGUGGCUCAAAAUCAACGGCUGAAAAUAAAAAUCUUACAAAAUAUGAUGAUAUGACAUUAAAAUUUUAGAUCAAAGUUAUUGAUCUUGUUUUAUAUGGUAUAAAGAAUUUUCUAUCAAAAUUUCAUGUGAUUUGGAUAUUUCUACACCGUUAAACUUGCAACCGGCUCACCACGGCCAUUAAAAUUAUUGAUUUUGAGCCCCUUCGAUCACUAGGCAAAUGAUAUCGAAAAAUCACAAAAUUUAUUUUCUAGGUACUUCAAAUACUCUAGAUCAACUCUAACGGAGCCGAUCGUCGAUUCGAAAGUCCGAACAUCGAAAACAACUUGGAAGCACGGAGCGCUCCGUGCUUCCAGAAGCAUACCAGACGCACUCUAUAUAUAUAUAUAUAUAUAUAUAUAUAUUCAUGAAUCCUACGAUAAAGAUGAUUUACUUUUCUACUAAAAAUGGUACAGUGGUUAGCAAAGUAGGCCAAUUUCAACAGAUGCAAAAAUGCAAUUUGCUAUAAAUAGGUGCAAAGUUUAGAUCUCCCACCUUAACCAACAUAGACAUCAUCAAUUAUAAAAGCCUGAAGUUCAAUGAGUAGUUCCAUUCAUCAGAGAAAGGGGAACUGACCUUCUGAACACGCCCAGUUAUUGCAACCAAUCGGCUUUUAAUUUGGCGGACAUGUUCCAAAUUGAGGGUACUUAUCUUCGAAGUUAGCUUGUCUAAUGCUGGAUGCGCCUCUUUCUCCAAAACCGCCGCCUGGUUUAGAACAGAAAGAAAAAGAGAUAAAAAAGAUUGGAAUUCAAGUACUGCAUAGGAGUUGCGACAACUGCGUAGAAUUAACUCGAGAUACGAGAUCAUUGUUUUAGGGCAAGACAAAGACAAAGAUACGGGACCAUUCAGUAACAAAAGACAGAUGGACUAAUUUAAUAUUUGAUAUUAACAGAAUGUCAGGCUGCACUAGAUAAACAAGAGAUCACUGUUCAUGAAAAAACAGGACCAUUUUUAUAGAUUGUUAAAAAAUAAGAAGCAGCAGAUAUUCUAAGUAUUACAUCAACAUGUUAGAUGACUAAAACACAUAUCAAUAAGAAUACCUGCAUGUUACAUGAAUAUGCGUUUAAGAUGUCUUGGCCUUUUCUAUUUAGCAGGAAAUAGCAAGCAAAUCGGAUAAACUUCUAUUUUAACUAAAUAUAAUUGCUACAUUAUCUUGUAAAUUACUUACUCCCACCUAUUCGUGCUUACUGUUAUUUUCUUUCAACAGCCGGUCUCAAGACAAGAUAAAUUAGGAGUUGCAUUCAGUAGCCUGACAUCUAGUGAAGAACUUUUGUCAAGAGGGCUCUGGUCAACCAUUAAUGUACACAAUCCUAUAUUCAUAUAGAGUUGUACACUAAUACAACCCUUUAAGGGACAACAUAAAUGACUGAAAAAUAUCCAACCAAGCAACCACGGCGAGCAUUUCUUAACUAAAAUAGUGUAGACCAACAUGACAAUUGAAGGAGAAGGAUGAAGUGCAAAUAACACCCAAAAUAUAUCAUGAUUGCACUUUACCCUCCUUUAUAAUCAUAACCAUCUGAUAACUCCCGAGGUUUGUAAAGCAUUCGCAAAUGCCCCUCUUCAAUAGGGAAUAAAGUGAACAGUAUUUUUCUACGAACAAAGGGGGUAAAUUGCAGAAGAAUAUAUAUAGUUGUUAUCUACAUUUUAACAAAAGCAUAUCACUCGUCGAAGAUAUGUUUUUCACCUCAUUCUCUAAGCAAGUGCAAGCCGCCUCUAGACAUGCCUCGAGUGCGAUAAACUCAAACGGAAGAGCCCUCGAACCGCGAGCAGAAAUAUCCUCAUCAUCUUUUCCUUUCUCAAUCUCACAUUCCUUCAAAAGAAUAAAAGGAAAUAAUGACAAGCGAAACAAAGAAAACAUACAAGAAAAGUAUGAAGAUAUUUAGCAUCACAUAGGUCGGUAUUGCAUAUAACCCUUCCAGUUAUGCGAAUCUUUCAAAAAGAGAAGCCCUUCCAUCAUCAAGAAAAGUGAAGGAACCUGCUGUUGGUGGCGGUGGCGGAGGCGGCGCUGCAGCUCGCGGACGAAGGGCUCGACGGCGGGGUCGCGGUGGUUGAGGAGGAGCACCUCGUGGGCGGUGAUGAUGGUCUUGAUGUGCUCGAGCCCCACGACGAUGGCGCGCUCGCGGCCGAGCACCGUCGACGGGUACGAGAGCUGCGGGUCCAGGAUCCGCAGGUCCCGCGCCGGGAGCCCCGUGCGCCGCAUCACCGCUUGCCUCCCCAGCUCCGCCACCCUCGCCUCCCCCGCCGCGUCCACCGCCACCCACGCCCUCACCCCCGCCGCCGCCCCCUUCUUCCUCCCCCCCACUCCUCCCACUCCCCCUCGCCCCUCCUCCUCCCCCGCCCCCUUCCACGGCGGCCGAGCUCCCCGCAUUUCCUAGGGUUAGGGUUAGGGUUAGGCUUAGGGUUUCUCUCUCUCUCUCUCUCUCUCUUUCUCGGAGCAGUGGAGUGCGCAAUGGAGAAGAGGGGGAAGUGAGGUGAGGGGACGUUAUCGGGUGGGGGCGGUAGCGGUCGAAAGUUUAAAUGCUCUAUGCGGAGGUUCGUAUAGAAAUUCUAUGAGGAGAGGAGCUUGUUGCAUCAUGCACGUGAAUUGGCCUUCGUUUACAAUCCCAGCCGUUAGUUGUUUACGCUAGAUGAGAGUAUCGCGUUGAUACGUAGAGAUAGUUUAUAAGGAGCUCCGCAUAGCGGAGACAGAGAAACACCUGCCGAUAAAAAGUAGGUGCUGCUUUUAAUUGGAGUUAAACGGUUAUUUAUUGCGGUUGUUUUGGGCCUCAGAUGUGAACGACACACUACCCAGCCCAACAGGCCAGUACUUUGAUUAGUAAACAGUUUUAAAAUAAACACCUCAGCUUAAUUUUCUUUUAUUGAGACCUUAGUUUUUUAUUUUUCUGAUUUACUUAUUUUAGUUGAUUAGAUUGAUAGUUUUAUUUAAAAAUGCUCGAGAUUUUAUCGAAAUGAAUAGUUUUAACAACUUGUUAGCAAACUAAUUGAAGGAUUCGUCAAUAAAAAAAUCAAACUGAAGAAAAAAAAAAAAAAAAAAAAAAACUAUGUUUUCACUUAAUUAUUAUUGAAGGAUUGAGGGAAUUAACAUUCCCUUUUCGUUAACUCAUAUAGCCACAACGAACGAAUGUCGCGCGUUUGAGAAACUUUGACAUAGCAAAUACUCCCAAGCAAUGUUGCGGAUCAUGCACUCCUAACCAAACCAGCCACCUGGAGAGAUCAGCUAGCAGCUAUACAUGCAUUCCGACCGCCCCUAGAGCAAGUGGCAAAGGAUUUGGUGGUUGGUAUUCGAGGUUUCAAGUUCGAAUCCUAGUUGAUUCACAUUUCUAGCUAAGUUUAUUUAUAAAUAAAAUAUGGGCAGUGCCGGCCCACAUUUUUCGAGCCAAAACAGGUUAGGGGACUGUCCCAGCUCAGCCGGACAUCAAAUUCAAGCUGUGCCGUGCCGGGCCAGAGCUUUCUAGCCUUCGGUCUGUGCUCCAAGCCGGUCACUUUUUUAUUUUUUUUAAAAAUAUAUAUAUAAUCUAAAAAUAUAAAAAAAUAUAUUUUUAUUUAAAUUGAUAUUUUGAUUAAAAAAUUUAAAAUUUAUAAAAAUAAUUAUAAGAUAAUAAAUAUUUAAAUUUAUUAUAUAUAUAUAUAUAUAUAUAUAUAUGAAAUCAUUUUUUCGUGACCAAAUAAUGACAAAAGCACGCUCUUAAGGUGGCCCUGGGAGAAGGGCUUGGCAACCCUCUCCCAGGUGAUCAGACCCAGAGGCCAGACCACAAGGCACUCCUUGGCCUUGCCCGGGUUUCCAAGCCAUGUUGGUCUCAGCGCUGGAAUGCCAGCGGCCUCUUCCUCGGCCCGCCAAUCCGUUUUGGGCCGUACCGUGCCGGGCCUUACGGCCUCAGAAAAGUGGCCAAUACGGGCAAAGAGUCGGACCGAUCCGGCCCAGCACGGAUGCUAUAGUAGUCGUGCCGGGCCGGGCAGCCCGUUUACACCCCUACAUAGCCCUCAGCAAAAUCAACAUUCCAGGAUGCAUUCCCUCGUGUCUCUGACUUAACCUGUGCUCGACAAAAUUCCGCCGUGGAUUUCACCCAAAACAAAAAUGCUCUUAAAUACAUAGUAUUCAUAACCGUGUGUAUAUAAAUAUAUAUAUAAAUUGCCAAGCCUUUAAAUAGGAUAUACGGAUCCAUUUAUUGCAGUUUUCGAUCUAAUUAAGAAAAACUCCUAAAACUAUACACAAGAAAUUUCUCUGGACAAGUAAUUAUGUAUCAGGAUCCAACAUAUAUGCUCACUAAUCCAUGUCUACAAGAAAACCUUUUGUUAGCUGAAUUCAAUCCUACCCCUCUUCAUCCCUUUGCUGUCUUUAUAUUCUACUGAUCUCCAAAAUUCGCUGAGUCAAUCACUCAACGCACUGUUAAUUCUUCUCUCUCUCUCUUUUUGGCACUAAGUCAUUAUCAUUGAUCAAGCCCAAAUAAACUGGGUGCAAAUUGCAGCAAAGGCUCCAACGUGCUCGGAGAAAACUUUCUCGCAAAGAGAAAACAAAUGGAAGACGGCUGGUUGUUGUGUAAGCACUUCUGAUCUUCGGUGAUCCGUUUCAGAAAAGCUUCAUUGAUGUCACCCUUUCCAAAAGUAGCAGGGUGGGAGCCGCCUCUCGACCAAUCUACCCAUGUGACACUUCUAUUCGCGAUAAGGUCCGGAGAUUCAACGGUGAACAUGGUAGGAAUGUAGUGCUCAUCCAUAUAGCAAGGUGGCUUGCAGAAUUCUUUGAACUUUGCGUAGUAUUUGGUGUCCUUGAUAAUGUCAAUCGCGAGCUUUCGGUCCACUUCGAACCACUGAGGCCCUUUUCGCCAUUGAGUUAUAUUGACCUCGGGGGCCAUGUCGGGUCUGUACCUUCCCCUUCCAAAAGGGCGAGGAUCAUCGAAAGAACCGACAAAGCUGUAUCUUGAUUUCACCAGGUAUUGAUAAAUAAUGCUGAAGCCGUAGAUUGGGAUGCAAGAUUCAGAGAGAAGGACGAACCGUUCAUUUGAUAGGUCGAGCAAGGCAUUGGCCAGAAGCCGCCUCUCUGCGUCGCAGAUGCUUCUAUCCCCCCACAUGACGACCUGUCAAUUCCAAUCUAUAAGUAAAUAGUAAGCUAGAAUGCAAUGGUAGAACUUAGAAUACCACAUCGUAGGUAUUUAUGAUCACGAAUACGUUUUAUGUAGUACCCAUGAAUCAAUCUUUUAAACAUAGAAAACAAUGCACUGUGGCAGUUCUAGUAAGACCAGAAAAAGAUCUGUAGGAUAUCCACUGAACAUACUGCUUGCUUGUAGUACAUUCAAAGUGUGCAUUUACAGAAUGAUCUAGCAUUAGGAAAAGAGGACAGAAGAAACAACCAAUAGUGCACACUCUUACUAAUUACUAUUAGACCACAUCAAAAACAUCACUAGCCAAGAUCUUCUGCAAGCAUCAAUUAAGGUGUAUCAGGAACACUGAAACAAUACUGGAUGGUCUACAUAUGUUUAAGCACCUUCACGACAGUACUGAUAAUCCAAAUUACCUUGGGGGUCCAUUAAUGAUUACUGGUCCCAUCGAAAAAUUGGCAGAUGCCCUCGAAAUUUGUUUUGACUAAAAACUUUUUCCCGAAGAACUUGUACUACACUGGGUGUAUAAGGCAUAAAAAACAAGAAUGGCAAUUGUAUGUACAGAUUACAGAAUAAUUUGGAAGGGUGAAAAGGAGAAGCGAGUUAGCUAAGAUAUCCAACUGUAACAACUGCGUAAAAACUUAUCUGCGAGAAUCAGAAACCAUAUUUUAAAAAGAAAAAAGGAAUAGAACCGAAUCCUCAAGCAGUUACCCCACGCCAACUGAAAGAUAAAAUUACAGAUUGAAAUGCAAAUUAAAUUCAGGUAUGAAAUAUCUGCCGUCUAUAUCAUAUUCUUUAAGCUUAAAAUUGCUCAGGCAUUUCUCAUCUACGGUUGAAAUUCAUGAAAGUAGGAACGUACUGCAAUUCAUCCAAAUAGAAGCAAUUCUUCGAUCCAACGGAAGAGAUGAAUUUUGCCGAUCCUUCAAUCUAAGCUACAACAGGAUCAAAUGCAAUAUAGCAAAUGCAACAGAAAAAGCCUAAGCAUCAUUUGGUACCGCUAUCAUUUUUUGUUUCUGAACCCGAAUUCUAUGUUACUACGUGGGCUAGCGGACGGCAAAUUGUUUGCCAUCAAAACACUUUCGAAUUGACUGGGAUGAUAAGGAACAGUUACUGGAGGAUGAAUGUAAACCAUGUUGGCAUCAAUUCUGUUAAUCAAUGACCAAGUAUUCAUUUAGUAUGCUUCCAAGGCAUAUCUAAAAAAUUUUACAGCCUAAUUACUGGGUCGUAUUCACACACUUAACGACCGAAUAAAUUCAAAAUUCCAACUUUCUCAUAUAAUUUAGACAAUCAAAAAGUUGAAAGUAGAGAUAUCGAAAACUAUCUAUCAUGGGAGGCAAGUUUGUAGAAACAAAAGAAGAAGAUAAAUUAACAACGCAAUAAAUAAGCCUAAGUGCUCUGUUACUUUCUAUAAAACGAUAACGAAUCUGUAAUUAGGAACAGAGAGGUACCUGACUCGGGAUUUGUCUCCGGUAGAACACUGAGUUCGGCGGAAAAUCGGGAUGAUAAUCCGGCAACGAAUGAACAUAAAUCGAGUAUCGUCCUUUGUGGCCUUCGAAGAACUUCUCCCACAGAGGAUGAAGUGGCAAUGGGCCCCUUGUUAAGAACAUAAACGCAACCUUUGGGACCCUCUUAUAUGGACACUGCUUAAUCUCUGGAACAAACGAAGCACGCCAAAACAGCUCCUCGUCGCUCAUAUUAUGCAUCAAAGUAGAAGGAGGCGUAAUCCAACGGCUGAGAUCGCUCUGUUCGCCGAACCAGGGAUUGAAACUGGAACUACUACGCAACACCGUGAUAGGUUGGAGAUAGAAGUAGCGUGUCAUGUAGAAGCUGAGGAUUAGCAACCCAACGCUCAAAACAACGAGCGAUAUAAGAAUUUUUAGGGUUCCGAGAGGAAAAGCUCGAGAUUGAGUCCUUUGGGACGGUUCCGUUCCAUUCUCCAUGGCCAAAACCCUACCUUGCAUCUUAAAUUCUCAAAACUAACCCAAAAAAAGAAAAAAAAAAUCCAAAUUUGACGAAUCCAACUUCUGGGUAUUUCGAUUCUCCGUGCUCUGAUCAAUAAAAAAACCAAUUUUGGAUAGAAAAAUCGAAGGAUUAUGCUGAAAUCGAAGAUAACAACCUUGUUUCCUUAUAAGAUUUGAGACCAAAAUACUCCUUUGAACUGAAGUCGGCGACGUGGGUUGGUUUAUUAUCACCUCGGUGUUCAAAAGUCGGCGUCCCUUUGUCACUUCCCGCGCCCUCUCCUCGCAUACCAACCGCAACGAGAACAAAAAUCCGCAGAGUAAUUUGCUAUGAUUAUUACUCUCUCUCUCUAUAUAUAAUAAUAAUAAUAAUAAUAAUAAUAAAAAAUUGAAAAAAGGUUAUGGCUAUUUUUUGUGUGGGUGAAAACCCAGUUUCUUCGGCCCGUUUGGAUCGCGGGAUAAGCGUUUGGAUCGCGGGAUAAGCGGGGAUAACGAAAGUUAUCCCCGCUAUUCCGCCAAACGGGGUGAAAUUUGGCUGAAAUAUUCAUAAUUAUAUCAUGUUAAUUAUUAAAAUAUUAUUUUUAUUACAUAAUAUUAUAUAUUAUAUAAUAUAAAUAUAUUAAAUCAAAUUAAGUUAAAUAUUUAAAUUAAUUCAAACUUUAAUUCGUAACCUUAUCGUGAUAAGGUGGUUUUACCACCUUAUUGUUUAAGGAACGAUAAGGCCUUAUUGGCUCUUAUCGUUCUAAACUGGCCUUAUUNUUGUACUAUAUUAAUACAUAUUAUUUAUAUUUAAAUAUUAUAAUAAAAUUUAUAAUAAAUUAUAUUUAAAUAUUAUAAUAAAUUCUUUUUAUUAAAUUUAAAUUUAAGUAGAAUUUUUAAAAAAUUUAUAAAUUUAUUAUAAUAAAUUAUUUUUAUUAAUUGUUCCCACCACUAUUCUUAUUUUAAAAUUUUAAAAAUUAAAAAUUUAAAUUUUUAAAAUUUAUAAUUUAUAAUCUCAAAAUUAAAGUUUAAAAUUUAAAUUAUAAAUUUUAAAUUUUAAAUUUUAAAUUUGAUAUUUUAAAUUUUUGAAAUUUAAAAUUUGAUAUUUUAUAUUUUUUAAAAUUUAAAUAUGAUCUUAAAUUUAAAGUUUGAAAUUUAAAAUUUAAAAUUUUGAAUUUAAAAUUUGAGAUUUUAAAUUUCAAAGUUAAAAUUUUAAAUUUAGAAAUAUAAAUUUAAAAAUUUAAAAAUUCAAAUUCAAAUAUAAUAAGUGGAUAAUAUAAUUAUUUUUUAUUUACAAAACCCAUUAUCUUUCUUAUUCCAUCUUACCUAACCAAACGCUAUUUUUUUUAUUCCAGGAAUAACCCAAUUUUCAUCCAAACGCAAAAUUGAUUUAAUCCUCGCUUAUACCUCAAUUUAUACCUAUUCCUGGAAUAGCCACUUUUUCUUUAUCCCCGAACCAAACGAUACCGAAUUCGAGAUCAUAAGAAUUUAACAGGAGUUUGCAAAGCUCCUAGAGGAUUCGCGGGUCCUUGGCGUAGUAUAAAAGUAAGGGGAAGAAUAAAACGAGAAGUACAUAAUAUUAAUAAGGAUUAAUUUCAUACGCUACUCUAUAAAUAUACAGAGAAUUAUAAAUAUAUUUUUUAAAAGUUUAAUUUUUAUAUGUUAUUAUUUAAAAAAUUUUAAUAUUUUUAAAUAUAUUCCUCUAAUUUGUUACCGUUAGAUAAUUAUUUAUUUUUUUAAUUUUGUCAUCACAAAUAUACCGCUUCAAAAGUUAAUAUAAGAGAAAUAAAAAUAUCAAAAAUUAAUUAUGAUUAAAUAUUUAAUCUAUAGUUAAUUAAAAUUUUCUAAUGAAACCUAAACGGUAGGAACAUAUUUGAAAAUAUUAUUAAAAAUUGAACUUUACAGAAAUAUAUUUAUCAUUCACUAUAUUUACAUGGAUCCAUAUGAAAUUAAUCUUAUUAAUAAAGUGGUGGGGUCUACCAACGGUUCCGAUUAAGUGCGGUUUUUAUAAAAAUUAAAAUUUGAUAUUGAAUUGAAAUUGAAAUUUCAAUACAGAGUGGAAAUAGAAAAGUUGUAGAAAUUCACACCUGAAACCCGAAUCUCUUAGAAAAU
RNAcentral lists this long non-coding RNA (20777 nucleotides) under Ananas comosus (pineapple). RNAcentral's name for it is "long non-coding RNA (ACOM_LNC011327)". Lineage: Eukaryota; Viridiplantae; Streptophyta; Magnoliopsida; Poales; Bromeliaceae. The record is from RNAcentral.